Long non-coding RNA from Carassius gibelio (silver crucian carp), 2704 nucleotides. RefSeq lists it as uncharacterized. The transcript is spliced from 2 exons. NCBI's taxonomy places the organism in Eukaryota, Metazoa, Chordata, Actinopteri, Cypriniformes, Cyprinidae. The record is from RefSeq and is a predicted model, not a curated record.
AAUUGGCAGAAUUAUAACUUUUUUUGCAGCAACAAUACUGUUAAACGUCUACAGGCCAACAUUAUUUACGUUAAAUGAUGAACAGUUUACCUCAAACGGCCAACCUACCUUACGCGACUCGCAUAAUCGUGUUAAGGUAACGUUAUCUGAGACGACAGAUUAAUAAAGUUUUAUUAGGUUUCAGAAAGUGACUGAUGGCUGAAAUAUGCGAAUACCUGUGAAAAUAGAGGAAAAAGUAGUUUCUGACACUGAAAAGCGAAUUUGAUAUUUAAGUGAGUCAAAUGAGUUCAAAAAGUGAAUACGACUUUCUGCUCUAAUGUAAACGCCUGCAGUUGUCCAUAUCGACAUUUAAAUCAUACAAAUUACGUACAAUAUAGUCGGACCGCAGGUCUAAAAGAACCGACGACCCAGUUCAAGUAAACCGGUUCAGUAAUUCUCGAACAAAGUGAUUCCCGGAAAAGAAUCGACGUCUCAGGGCAUUUCAAAGUACGCGCACGCACAGCGAGUGACGCUGGCCGCGUUAGUGAAGUGAUUUGAUGCUUUUGUGGUUUAUAAAGUCUUUUUACAUACAAAUUAUAAUUCAAAAUGUGUUUUUUUUCCUGUCAGAAAAGCGCAUGGAUACAUUUGUGAGAGAAAAACUGGUCGAGUGCAGUCUUAUUGAGGCGUCUAACGGUAAGUUCUUGUUUAUUAUACAUUUUACAUAAUUGUUUGUCUGUGAUAAUCAACUAACGUUAACCCUCACGUAACUUAAACGCACAUAUAUUUUUAUUUCGUGCUAUAGUUAAAGCUGCACCAGAAUGUACCUAAUUUAUUAAUUUUCCAGAUCGUGUUUUUGACUUGUCCUUAUCACUUUGCUACAUCUAUAAGUUUUUAUAUAUGGACUGUUUUACCUACGUGACUUGUCAUAGAAAUGUCUGUGUGCGCACAUGCAGUGUGAUCUCCCUUAUCUGUGCCAGUGACUGUGUGUGUUUGAUAUAGUCAUAGCCAGCAUAUUAACAUAAAACUGUGAUUUAUAAUAACUGGAACAUCCCAUUGAUUAGACAGUUUGAAAGCACACCUUUCAGCCAAUCACUAUAUCAUAUUCUGCUUCUGUAGACCAACUCAUAGGUGAAUUUAACUCAUAAUCAUGAUGGGUCAAUUUCAUGAUUAACUUCACACAGUUAAUUGAACUGAAUCACUGUUAUUAAAACAAUUUGUAUUUUUUCUUUUUUUUUCAACUUUAUUUUAAAGGUUGGAACAAAAAUGAAAUUCCUUAACUGAGCAGAGUCCACAAGACCCCAUCCAGUUGUCGUGGCGAUUUAAAAAUGCCAGCAGAUCUCUCAGGCAUUGAUCAUAAUCAAUGGACAGGUCACCGUAGCCACCCGUAUCCAGUACGUAUCCAGACCAGAUGGAGAUCAUCAUCUAGAAAGGACCUCUACAUCCCUGAAAGACAGCGGAGACCAGGACAACUAGAGCCCCAGAUACAGAUCCCCUGUAAAGACCUUGUCUCAGAGGAGCACCAGGACAAGACCACAGGAAACAGAUGAUUCUUCUGCACAAUCUGACUUUGCUGCAGCCUGGAAUUGAACUACUGGUUUCGUCUGGUCAGAGGAGAACUGCCCCCCAACUGAGCCUGGUUUCUCCCAAGGUUUUUUUCUCCAUUCUGUCAACGAUGGAGUUUUUGUUCCUUGUUUUUCUUUAGUUGGGGACAAUUAAUAUCAAGCGAUAUCAUCCACUUGAUUGCACAGAGGGACGAUACAUCACUGAAUCAAUGACGAAUUGACUUUAACUGAAAACUGAGUGUUUACUUUUGUCCCUUUGCAUUAUUACACACUAUUUUCCUAUUCAAUACUGUAAAGCUGCUAUGAUGCAGUAUUUGAUCGAUAUGACAGGCUUAUUACUCAUAAUACAUGGAAAAUACAGCUACAAACUGACUUUGUUUUUCCAUUUGAAAUUUGGCAGUCACUAAACUGAAACCGUAAUUUUUGUUCAGUGUUUUUGAAACAGUGUUUUUGUUCAAGAUUUGCAAUUGUGUUUGGAUUGUCACAAUUUGUCACAAUCCAAAUGUGGAAAACGCAAUUGAUAAAUAUAAUUAGCAAUUCCUUUUGAAAAUUGUCCUUCCAUAGACAGGCUCUAUAAUGGAGUACACUGCUCUGAGGUGUAGAUCUUUGCUUCAGAGCUUAAGUGUUUGACAAUAGUUCACCCAAAAAUGAAAAUUGUCACUAAUUAUUCACCCUGGUCUGAAAGCUCUCGAAUAUCAACGAAAAUAUCUUAACUUGUGUUCUGAAGAUGAACGAAGGGCUUACGGGUUUGUAACGACAUGAAGUUGAGUAAUAAAUGACAGAAUUUUCAUUUUUGGGUGAACUAUAUGUUGAACUACCCUAAGCAGUGCACAUCUACCUACGUAGGAGUCUUUAUAUACUUGAUAUAAAUUUAAGGACAUCUUUAAAUGAUUUUACAUUUAAAUUUAAAAAUGUUAAUUGUCAAUGUCAUUUCACUGUGUAUUUAAAUAGCUAAAAAUCUCAAAAUGUAAUAGUUAAACAGCUAGACACAGGUCAUUCAGAAAUAAUUUUCUUAUUUAUUGCAACUGUAUUUCUGUGAUUUUUAUUUAUUUAUUUUGCAUUUGCUGGAAACAAAAAAAGGGAAAAUUCCAUGUUGUUUGUCAUUGGUAAAAAAAAUUUGAAUGUCAGAUGGCAUUAAAAAUAUUUUUUAACAGUCUAAAUAA